UCUCCGUAGGUGAACCUGCGGAGGGAUCAUUACAGAGUUCAUGCCCUACCGGGUAGGUCUCCCACCCUAUGUUAUUAUUACUUUGUUGCUUUGGCGGGCCGUUAGGCUCCGGCCCGACUACCGGCCCCGGCUGGUAAGCGCCCGCCAGAGGACCCAAAACCCUGAAUAUUAGUGUCGUCUGAGUACUAUAUAAUAGUUAAAACUUUCAACAACGGAUCUCUUGGUUCUC
This 229-nucleotide unclassified non-coding RNA is filed under the name plant metagenome. Its description in RNAcentral is "partial contains small subunit ribosomal RNA, internal transcribed spacer 1, and 5.8S ribosomal RNA". The record is from RNAcentral.